AUUGAACGCUGGCGGCAUGCCUUACACAUGCAAGUCGAGCGGCAGCGCGGGGGCAACCCUGGCGGCGAGCGGCGAACGGGUGAGUAAUGCAUCGGAACGUGUCCUUUUGUGGGGGAUAACCAGUCGAAAGACUGGCUAAUACCGCAUGAGCUCGAGAGAGGAAAGCAGGGGACCGCAAGGCCUUGCGCGAGAGGAGCGGCCGAUGCCCGAUUAGCAGUUGGUGAGGUAACGGCUCACCAAGGCGACGAUCGGUAGCUGGUUUGAGAGAACGACCAGCCACACUGGGACUGAGACACGGCCCAGACUCCUACGGGAGGCAGCAGUGGGAAUUUUGGACAAUGGGCGCAAGCCUGAUCCAGCCAUGCCGCGUGUGUG
Molecule: ribosomal RNA, 375 nt
Filed under: uncultured bacterium
Lineage: Bacteria
Description: bacterial SSU rRNA
Rfam family: Bacterial small subunit ribosomal RNA
Source: RNAcentral